Molecule: ribosomal RNA, 253 nt
Filed under: uncultured bacterium
Lineage: Bacteria
Description: partial 16S ribosomal RNA
Rfam family: Bacterial small subunit ribosomal RNA
Source: RNAcentral
UACGUAGGGGGCUAGCGUUGUCCGGAAUCAUUGGGCGUAAAGCGCGCGUAGGCGGCCCGGUAAGUCCGCUCUGAAAGUCCAGGGCUCAACCCUGGAAUGCGGGUGGAUACUGCCGGGCUAGAAUCCGGAAGAGGCGAGUGGAAUUCCUGGUGUAGCGGUGGAAUGCGCAGAUAUCAGGAGGAACACCAAUAGCGAAGGCAGCUCGCUGGGACGUUACUGACACUGAGGCGCGAAAGCGUGGGGAGCGAACAGG